Lonchura striata (white-rumped munia) is the source of this 318-nucleotide non-coding RNA. The record is from RefSeq and is a predicted model, not a curated record. NCBI's taxonomy places the organism in Eukaryota, Metazoa, Chordata, Aves, Passeriformes, Estrildidae.
UGGCACCUUCAGCCAGCUCUGCUGCCAGAGACACGGCUGGUGCUGGGGGUAAGGUCUGGCUGCCGCUUCUAACAGGGGGUUCUCGUCUCCAGGAUGUUCAGCUGGUUUGUCCAGGGGCUGGAGAAGGUGAUGCCACAGCCGGUGACCAGGGAGAAGCAGGACACUCAGGGAGUGGCCACAGCAACCCCGAGUCCUGUGGAACAAAGGGGCAAAGGGGCUUAGCGCCUCUGAAACAAAUGGAAAAUGAAGACCGUGGCCAACCAGCCCUUCCCACACCCAAAUGAGACCAACCUGAGGAGAAAGCACAGCUGGGGAGGC